GGUAUUACUGUCAAAUGGUCAAACUUCCGGUUUGAGAAAACGCAGCAUUUUGUUGAGUUUUUAGAGAAACUUGCAGCUAUUACGCCUUUUCCACAACAAAAUGGAUUGGCAAUUAACGUGUCGGGUGUGUCUAGAAACCGGGGACAUGGUUUCCCUCUUUGAUUGGGACGAAAAUAACGAACAACUUGGCGACAAGUACACCUUCUGUUGCGGCGUGGAGGUGAAUAAAAACGAUAGUUUGCCAACGCUAAUAUGCUUGAAUUGCGUCGAUCGGCUAACUUACGCGUAUCAAUUCAAGCAGCAGUGUAUAACUUCCAACGAUACUCUCAAAGAAUGUUUGGAAGAAUUCAAAAAGUCUUCGGAAGCCGUGUCGGGAGGGAGCUCCGCCAAUGUACCAACGGAGACAGAAACAAUCACAAUAAAGCAGGAGAAUGGUCUGCUUCUCCAAUACGAGUUGCCGGUGGAGCAUGACCCUCAAGGCCAAUGGACUCGCACAUUGGUGAAAACUCCCAGCAGUGCCGUUGUGACUAAGGCUCCGGGACCCAGGAAGAGAGGACGGCCUAGGAAAUAUCCUAAUGAACAGGGACAGAUUGAACUCUCACCGUACCAACGCAAGAAGCCUAAAAACCAAGAAAAGGAACCGGAAGCCUUAACCACACUCCUGGCCGCUGGCUCCCUGGACCUCAAACAAGAGCCCAUUGACAAUGAGGAUGAUGCUUUCGGUCAUGAGGAAUUUGGCAGUGCAGAUGAUGAUCCUGACUUUGAGCCUGCUGGAGAGGAACAGGAAUCUGAACCAGAAACUAAAGAAUUGAAUCCUCCGCCCCGCAAGCGCGGCCGACCACGCAAGUCCUUGCAAGACAAGCCUACUAAACCCAAACCUAAGAAACAGGACGGUGAAGAUGUGCUACUCAAGGAAACUAUCCUGGCAUUCUCCGAGCCCAUACCGGAACAUAUACUCAAUCCAAAGCCUAAGAAGAAGUAUCAGAACAAGAAGAAAUAUAUUUAUGAGAAGACGCACACAUGUGAGACUUGCGGCGCAUCGUUUACAUCCAACGCUUCUCUACAGGCGCAUAUUCGACGCCAUCUUGGAAUCAAACCGUUUGUUUGCAGCGUGUGCGGGUACGCGUGCGUUCUGAACAUGGAGUUGCGCCGGCACAUGAUGCGCCACACGGGCGUCAGGCCGUACAAGUGUCGCGUCUGCGAUCGACGCUUCGGGGACUUUGGAAGUCGACAGAAACAUGAGAGAUUACACAUGGGCGUCCGUCCGUACCAGUGUUCGCUGUGCGGCAAAUCCUUCACGUACUCCUACGUGCUCGCCAACCAUAUGCUCACUCACACCGGGGAGAAGAAAUACUCUUGCGGCCCCUGCAACAAGAAAUUCACGAAAGCCCACCACCUAAAAUACCACAACAAGGUACAUCACAAAGAGCUGUACAUACAACAGCAACUUGAACUGGAAGCCAAGAAGAUGCGCCAACAGAUCAACGUGUCCGGCCUGUCCGGGGUCAUCUCCGGACAGAUUGUGGAUGGCACGCUGCAGCUUAUACAUACUGGAUCUGAAGAUGGUGGUGAAGAAACACAAAUGCAGGUAGUAGAGGAAACUGAAGAUGGUGGGGAUGAUUCCGAGAAAGAGACUGAUCGCGCCGUCGCCGGCAUGCAAGCGGUUGUAUUAGACGCUGAAUUCUGCAUGGACGACGAAGUGAAAGCGGAGUGAAAUAAACCAUAGGUAAUUUUAAUUAAAAACUUAGAACAAUAAACAAUUAUUAAAAUCAAGAACAUUUUUCUGUUUAUUCAACAUAAUAUUACAUGACGACUUCUCUAUGUAUAAGGAUGUUAUUAAAUCCAUGUGAAUGACCAAAAUAUCGAUAUUUGCGUUUCACAUCACUAUUUAUCGAUGUUAGAAAUGUCUAGGAGUUAUCGAUUAAUGUCGAUCGUGAGGGUUUAAUAUUACCCUAUUAAUGUUUAACUGUUAGAAUAUUCCUACAAGGAAAAAAAUACCUAUAGGUACUUUAGGUAUAAAUACCUAUGGCGUAAUUAUGUAGAUCUAUUAAGGUACGAGUUCGCCUGCGGUCGGCUGCGAACUCGUACCUUUAGUGUGUAUUCAAAACUUAACUGGAUGUAAAACAAAAAUGUGUAUAGUAAUGUAAUAAUCUCUAUUUGAACAUUAGAUUUCGGACGAGAUGUGUGUGAUAUCUAUUUUGGAAUAGAGAUUCAUAUUUCAUGUUCAUUUGUAUAAAAAAAAAAACUAAUUAUGUAAAAGUUUAAAAUUUUAUGAUAAAUAGAUAUUUACAUCUGUAGAUUUAUCCAUAAAAUCCAUGAAAUAUUUCCGAUUAUUAUUUCGAUGAAAUUAGCCAAACACAAAAUAUGUACUAUUGUCCAAUAAGUAUGUAAAUUGUUAAAUUUGAUGUGUGUAGGUUUCAAUAUAAUAGAAUCAAAACUAUUCAAUUCAUGUUUUCUACCUACUCUUUAAUACAAUAGAUCUUAAAGAAUUCAAACAGUAAGAGCACUAGUAUUAAUAUGAACUAAAAAAAAAGAAAUAAUUUACUAAUGAAAUAGAUAAAAUAUAAUAAGGUUCAGUUUACUGAACUACUAAAACUACUAAAAGUUCAAACUGAAUACAAAAAUUGUAGCCAAAACUUAAAUUUUACUGUAUACUCUAAUUUCAGCAAAAUUUCAUAACUUAAAGUACUAUGAAGUAUGUAUAGUACCUAAACUUAUUAUGAUUUUGUAGUAAAAAAUAACAUAAACUGUAAAAUAAAGAAGACUUUGAAUAUAAUUAUUAUUGUAAAUAGUAAUUUUAAUGAUCAUCGCGUUAUUUUAUAUUUAAUUACUUAUUUUUAGGUACCUAUUACUUUGAACUAAGAUACCGGCCUUUUCAUACUAUGUAUCUUUGGUAAUAUAACAAAAAUUUAAUGCGCAAAUGACGUUUAGGCUAAUUAUUGGCAGUUUUAAUGGAGUUGCCACGAAUAGUUAUUUGGCCGAAUACCGAAUAUAUAACCUCGGCGCCGAAUAUUCAGGUAUCUCAAAAUCCCAAAAGGUCCCUAAAAAUGGUAGCAAAACAUAUUUGCUAAGAUUUAUUUAUCAUUAACUGGCAGUAGUGUGGGUAUAAAGGCUGUUUUUGGAAGUAGGUAAAACCCAAUAGUCGGGUAUCGAUAAAUGUUUUCAUUCAUCAAAACCGUUACUACAACUUAUUAUCACAUCUUAUUUAAAACUUACCAUUGGUAGAUUAUAAAUAUUAGUAUGUUAAUUUUAAUUUAUUUGUUGGUUGAUUGAACAUCUUUGCGAGUAAUAUUUCGAUUUUUUUUUUCAUGAUUUACUAUUCGGUAUUCGGCUGAACAGUUUACAGUAUUCGUGACAUCUCUAAUAUUCACCGUCUUGUAUAUUUGUUCGCCUCAAUAUCUAUUAAUACUAGUUCCUGUCCUUAGAUGACAAUGUGUAUGUUUAAUUAUUAGUUGAUUUUAAUUAAAUAAUUUAUAAUGUAAGUGAGCAAGAGAAGCUAUGUAAUGUGACAUGGUUUUAGUAUAAUAUGUUAAAAACAUAAUAUUAUGUUGAUGCUAUUACAAUUCGUUCGAAAUUGAUUCUAGGAUUAUAUGAAUAAAGAUCAUGGAACAUGA
RNAcentral lists this unclassified non-coding RNA (3614 nucleotides) under Helicoverpa zea (corn earworm). RNAcentral's name for it is "myoneurin-like, transcript variant X1". Lineage: Eukaryota; Metazoa; Arthropoda; Insecta; Lepidoptera; Noctuidae. The record is from RNAcentral.